AAAACCUGUUUAAAAGGAAAACAAAAAAAAAAAAAAAAGAAAAAAACCCACACAGUACUUAAUUUAAUGCAAACACAAGCUUGGAUGCUGAAAGCCUGCCCUGUUACAAAUGUAGUCUUUUUUAUGCCCUUAGCCCCAUCCACAGUGAUAGCACACCCUCUGCUGCAGGGCCACUUGAGAUAUCUCAUGGUCCCAUCUUAACAUAUUUGGAAGUGUCUGAAGGCCUCAGUUUAAAUAAGGAAUCUUUUUUAAAUGUAAGCCUGUAAGAAUACAUGAGCAAAGAGGCAAAAGGAGAGGUAAAAGACAACAGGCUUUCAAUCUGGGAGUUGUACCACUGAAACCUCAGUGUAAAUUGAAGCAAGCUGCAAUAGGUAGGGCUGGAGCAGCUGGGAACAGGAUGAAUCUCUUUCAGCAUACAGCCAUGCUCACCACAUUGCCCUUCUGCAGGUAAAUCAGACAGUUCAACCUGCAGCUGCUGGGACAGAUCAAAGGAAGGGAUGAGAAGCAGAAUCUAAUAACAAAUGAGGAAAUCCAAGGGACAAAAGGAAUGCUGGAUUUGCUCCUGAUCAUUCAGCAGGCCACAGAGAGAGCAGUCCCUGACUCAAGCUUGUGAUACUGAUAGCAGACCUGUGACACUUAAAAUACGAUGAUGAUGGCUACCUGCAGAGCUCCCAGUCUCUGCUUGGAACACUGGAGAUUCAGCUGAUUCACUGCUGAACUGAUCUUGAAAGACAUAGGAGAUGCCAAAAGAAUACAAAACUGCAACAUUUUGCUGGGGGUCUUCAGGAGCAUGCACAGACCUUUUCAAGGAUAAACUCACCUAUGUGAUGUGAAGCAUCGAUCUGCGAAUCAAGUAUAACUCCACUUGCCAGGCCCAUUGGAAUCCUGCAAUCUGAAAGGAGCACAGUGCUUUUGGACAAGAGAAGAUAUGAGCCACCUUCCUUCCUCUGUCACUGUCAUGUUUACAGUGGUUGAGGCUCCUCCCACCAAGUUAACAGCAGAAACUCGGCGACGUUUUUGCUCCAUGCUCUGGCCAUUGAUAUGAAUGGAGAAGAUUUCUGGUUUGGAACUCAUUCCUAUCAAAUGCCAGCUAACGUUGUCAUAUGCACAAGCCUCUAAAUCUGAAAGAGACAUGAGAUUAAAGUUCAGAAUACAGGGGAGCUUCGAGGUCCAAGUCCACGCAGUCUACAGUCUACACAAAUUUUUUGACUCAAACAAAAGCAAGCUAAAUAGCUCCCAGCACGUUCACCACAAGAAGGAUAUAUAAUUUGGAAAACCCUUGGAUUUAAGGGACCAAUCAGCAGUGCUCCAAUCAGACCAGAGUUAAAAUCCACUGCCAUGUUCUCAUGAGAAUAGUAAGCAUAAGUAAGACAAGGAAGGUCAGCUUCUCUUGGACCAACUUCUUCUGAUAUAUCCCACACAUAUGUGUAGAGCUGGCCUGGAAGUACAGCAUCAUCUCGUUUUUCUUCAGGGGAUGUUCUGUCAUCAUACAGGGAGCCUGCCAAGAAAAGAGUCGGUAGGGUGGCAUAAAGAUAAAGAACAAAUAAAAUGCCUGGAAUAUGUUCCUACAAUCAGCUCCAAAAGCUUGGUUUGAUCAUGCUCAUAUGGUACUUCAGCUUCAAAGAAAUAACUCAUUAAAUAACUCAUGAGUAGCUGGGGAGAGUAGCUAUUCCACUACCAUCCUUUUCCUCACAGAUUAAAGAUUUCCUAGAAAUAUCAUCACUACCAAAGGUUGGGCUCUUCAUCAGUCUGACUAAGGUUAGGAGAGGAUGAUGCUUCAGCCUCUGCUCACUGAUGCUCUGCAGAGGAAUGCUGCCCACUCUGUCACCUUUCUAAGUGUCUCUCAUAAAGCCACUGCAUGGGCUGGCUCUGCCUCAGGCCUUUUGUACACUGCACAUUCAUAUAUUGAGCAGUAAUGGCUCAUGUCAGUGCCUGCCAUAUCCAACAGAUCUGCAAUAUGACAAAAGGGAGACGGAGAAUCGAAAUCCGAAGUGCAAAAGGUACAUUAAUCAGACAGUAUUCCCACCAUUUCCAAUGAGAUGUUCUGUUCAACUCCAUGAGAUGGUGUUGCAAAAUUCCUUUUGCACACACACAACAAAUAAAGCUUUGCAUGAAUUCGUAAACUGCAGGUCAGCGCUCUGGCUCAGCAUUCAGGGCAGGGCAAUCCAAGAAACAUGAGCAACCAAACUCACUUCAUGCUGGAACAGACAUUUUACUGUCCAUUUGGUCAUAGUUUAUAAUCUCUUUUUGCUGGUCUCAUGAGGGUGUGGAGCAAAGCACCACAAAGCUGAGCAUUAAAUGCUGAGUAUCAGAACAGCAUGAUCAGCACUGCUAGGAAACUGCUCAUGACACUCAUUCCUAAUGUUAUGCUGAUGAACAAGAAAGGAGCUAACAAUGGACGUGAAGAUGUAAUCCAGGAUCAACGGAUCUUUGUGUUACACAUAGUUUUAAAUAUCCAUUUGGACCCCUCUCAACAUUUUAUGCAGUAGUCUACAAAUAAAUGAGCAACACAUGGA
Parus major (Great Tit) is the source of this 2516-nucleotide long non-coding RNA. RefSeq lists it as uncharacterized. NCBI's taxonomy places the organism in Eukaryota, Metazoa, Chordata, Aves, Passeriformes, Paridae. The record is from RefSeq and is a predicted model, not a curated record. The transcript has 5 exons.